AUGGCCGGUGGUAAAGGAGUGCAGCAACGCACCACCUCGGGUGGUUCCCAGUCGCCGGCUCCGGAGGAGCGGCGAGGGCGCAGCCGCUCCAGGCGCGGCCAUCGCGGUGAGGUCGUGGUUAGGGAGAUCGUGCGCGAGACCGCGGUCAGUGGUAGCGUACCCAUCACCUUCCCGAUGCUCACGCGCUCGAACUACAGCGAGUGGGCGUUGAUCAUGGAGUGCAACCUCCAUGCGGCGAGCCUCUGGGCUCCCAUGGAGGACGACUUGGUCGAGAGAAAGGAGGACAGGAAAGCCGUGGCGGCACUCAUGCGCGCCACGCCGCCGGAGAUGCACGGCAUGCUCGCGGCGAAGGCAAGCGCCAAGGAGGCGUGGGAAGCCAUCCGUACACAGCGCCUCGGCAGCAACCGUGUGCGCGAAGCGAACGCACAGAAGCUGCGAGCGGACUUCGAGAACAUCGCCUUCAACGAGGGCGAGCUCGUCGACGACUUUGCCAUGCGGAUCUCCAGCGUUGCGUCACAACUCCGCGCGCUCGGCGACACCAUGGACGACGCGAGAGUCGUGCGAAAUUUCUCCGCGUCGUACCAUCUCGCUUCGCUCAGGUAG
Molecule: ribosomal RNA, 603 nt
Filed under: Triticum aestivum (bread wheat)
Lineage: Eukaryota; Viridiplantae; Streptophyta; Magnoliopsida; Poales; Poaceae
Description: partial small subunit ribosomal RNA
Source: RNAcentral